Molecule: ribosomal RNA, 514 nt
Filed under: uncultured bacterium
Lineage: Bacteria
Description: partial 16S ribosomal RNA
Rfam family: Bacterial small subunit ribosomal RNA
Source: RNAcentral
GAUGAACGCUGGCGGCGUGCCUAAUACAUGCAAGUCGAGCGAAUGGAUUAAGAGCUUGCUCUUAUGAAGUUAGCGGCGGACGGGUGAGUAACACGUGGGUAACCUGCCCAUAAGACUGGGAUAACUCCGGGAAACCGGGGCUAAUACCGGAUAACAUUUUGAACCGCAUGGUUCGAAAUUGAAAGGCGGCUUCGGCUGUCACUUAUGGAUGGACCCGCGUCGCAUUAGCUAGUUGGUGAGGUAACGGCCCACCAAGGCAACGAUGCGUAGCCGACCUGGGAGGGUGAUCGGCCACACUGGGACUGAGACACGGCCCAGACUCCUACGGGAGGCAGCAGUAGGGAAUCUUCCGCAAUGGACGAAAGUCUGACGGAGCAACGCCGCGUGAGUGAUGAAGGCUUUCGGGUCGUAAAACUCUGUUGUUAGGGAAGAACAAGUGCUAGUUGAAUAAGCUGGCACCUUGACGGUACCUAACCAGAAAGCCACGGCUAACUACGUGCAGCCGCCGCAGUAA